GCCCUCGUAGUUCAACGGAUAGAACAGUUCCGUCCUAAGGAAACAAUGGGGGUUCAAUUCCCUCCGAGGGUA
RNAcentral lists this transfer RNA (72 nucleotides) under Parcubacteria group bacterium RIFCSPHIGHO2_01_FULL_47_10b. RNAcentral describes it as "tRNA-Arg". It matches the Rfam family "tRNA". From Rfam's summary of the family: Transfer RNA (tRNA) molecules are approximately 80 nucleotides in length. Their secondary structure includes four short double-helical elements and three loops (D, anti-codon, and T loops). The record is from RNAcentral.